CGGGAGGUGGAGGUUGCAAUGAGCCAAGAUCGUGUCAUUGCACUCCAGCCUGGAGGACAAGAGACUCUGGUUUUUGCAGCAAGUAACUAAUUUAUGGUGUCAAGGCUCCUUCUGUCCUUUUCGGGCUUCCAUUUCUCCAGCAGCAUUUCCACAGCACAGCAGCAAGAGGCCAAGUCAAAUUCCUGCAGAGCUUUGGCAACUGGGAUGAGAAGAAAGCAUAAGAUUUCAGGGAUGAUUUUAUCUUUUUUUAAGCUUAUGAUAAGAAGUACACGUUUUCAAUUGCUCCUCUCAGGCUCUUGGACCACUGCCUCCUUCCCCUUCUCCAGGAGCCGCUUUGCUGUAUUGAUCUGUAGAGAUAACAAAAGGAUGCCUGCCGUGAAACCCAUAUCUACUAACACAGGAAGCCACGGGCUGCAAAUGCCUGGGGCUCUGAUGGGAGAAACAUUUCAGAAGGGCAGCACCAGCAGGGAUGCAGCAGCUUGCUUACUGAGCAGCCUUGUGAACAAGAUCCCGCCUCGCAGCCUCACCUGGGCUUCCGACUGCUGCAUCUCUUUUUCCUCCGCCUCUAGCUGCAGAACUGCAUACACAUCUUUCUCCAUUUUCUCAAUCUUGUCCCGGAAUUUGAGGAUGACAUCUCAAU
Molecule: small RNA, 640 nt
Filed under: Pan troglodytes (chimpanzee)
Lineage: Eukaryota; Metazoa; Chordata; Mammalia; Primates; Hominidae
Description: processed transcript
Source: RNAcentral